Molecule: ribosomal RNA, 251 nt
Filed under: uncultured bacterium
Lineage: Bacteria
Description: partial 16S ribosomal RNA
Rfam family: Bacterial small subunit ribosomal RNA
Source: RNAcentral
UACGUAGGGGGCAAGCGUUAUCCGGAUUUACUGGGUGUAAAGGGAGCGUAGACGGCUGUGCAAGUCUGAAGUGAAAGCCCGUGGCUCAACCGCGGAACUGCUUUGGAAACUGUAUAGCUUGAGUACUGGAGAGGCAGGCGGAAUUCCUAGUGUAGCGGUGAAAUGCGUAGAUAUUAGGAGGAACACCAGUGGCGAAGGCGGCCUGCUGGACAGAAACUGACGUUGAGGCUCGAAAGCGUGGGGAGCAAACA